Molecule: small nucleolar RNA, 95 nt
Organism: Meriones unguiculatus (Mongolian gerbil)
Lineage: Eukaryota; Metazoa; Chordata; Mammalia; Rodentia; Muridae
Source: Ensembl
UAGCCUUUGCUCACCUCAAAUAAAGUUCACCAUCUGGCAUCAUUGGUUUCCUUGGCUUUCUGUACGUUAAACCUGGUCUUUCUAACCAUACAGUG